UACUGCCUGCUGUGUUUUUCUCGGGUGGCACGUCAAGGUCUAUCCAGAUGCUGAUUACUGUGUUGGAAUCUACCAAUUCUUCUGAUAUCUAGUUUGUGCCUUUGAUUUCCUAUAUACAUGGAUAUUUGGUUGGAUUUCUGCCGGUUUGCAUGCUCUGUCCAGUGUUGGAUUAGUCUUAGCUUGGUAAUCUGUAUUCUUAUUGUAAUUUGUAGUCAUGUCUUCUUCAUGCAAGUUAUGUUUUAUCUUGUACACAAUUGUCAGUUAUACAUCUUGUAUGAUGUUAUUGGUGUAAUUGUUCAAGAAUAUGUUGAUGACCUACAUUUAGCCCUUUGUCGUUUGGUUGGGUGCCUAAAAGCUCCAACAAAAUAGCAACUGAUUUUCAUAGCUUGAUGGUUUUUUUUUUGCUUACAUUAAUAUAUUUGUGUUCGUCUGUGCAAAUUCUGCAGAGAUUCUUCAGAGCAUUCUACUUCUAUAGUUCUCCUAAUCUCAAGAUAAUAAUCGUCACUUUUGACCUAACAUUUUCAACGUGUUCAGUGCUUUCCAUUCUUGUGUUUGUUUAGUUUAACUGAUAAGUUUGUGCUUGUAUUCUUUUUGGUCACUCGAUUUAGUCAUGCACAAGAUUCCUUCUAGUUAUCACAGUAGUAUUUAAUCUUGAUUCCGCAUCAUUCAUGAGUGCCACAUUCUAUCGCUAUUUUAUGUUAGUUUGGUAUUAAGCUUCAAGUAUAUUCAAAGGUUAGUGUGAAUUAUGAUUUCAGUCUUGUAUGUUUGCAUUAGUUACAGUCCGCUUUUACUCUUGAGUUUUCCCACCUGAUUAGUGUGAAUUAUGAUUUCAUAUUGUUCAUGGGCGUAGGCUAUAUAUGUAUUUAACUUGAUUUGUUACGGUUUUACAUAGUAUUCAGAGGCAAAUAUUCUGUGAAGUGGUGUCGGUCUAGUCAGAGUUGUUCGUUUACAUUUUAUUUCCAACCUGUCAGUGAAGUAAGAAUUUAGUUCAUGUGCUUAGGUCUACCAGUGUUUUUUAGAACUUAGUCAAUAACUACCAACAGUUUUAAGUUAUGAUUUAGGUCCCCCCCCCACUUGGUUGAGAUUAAGCAUGGCACAUACUGUUAACUUUCCCCUCUUAAUUGGUUGAGAUUAUAAGCAUGACACAUACUGUUUUUUCUUUGCUUCCACUAUCCCCACUUAUUUGAUUGAUGAGAUGAUAAGCAUGAGAUUAGAACAUUAUAAUCUGUUUUGAUCUUACUUGAAAAUUUAUUUGUCCCUGAUCUGUUGUGCUCUUAAUUUUUAUCUCUUUGUCUUCUGAACCUCACUGGUUGGUUUAGAUCGCGGCUAAUCUAUUUUGCUAUGACUUCUGAUCUGAUUUAGAGUUGUGGCUAAUCUAUCGUACUCUGAUUGUGAUAUGAUUUAGGGUCGUGGUUUAUCCAUUUUUAUCCUAAUUACUGAUUUAAUUCAUGGUGGUCACUAUUAAUGGAGAUUAGUUUUGGCGAGGAUAACUAGCUGUGUUCGUUCAAUAGAGAUUAUAUAAACGUGCAGCAGUUUGUUUGCAUUCAUCUUUGUUCGUUAUGGUGGAUUGGUCUUGGUCGGUUUAGUUGAUUCCCUGGAGAUGUUUGACAUGAUCGGACUGAGAGAUUGAAGGUUGUGGUUUGGUUUGGUCUGUUCUAUUCAAGGCGAUUCAGUAUUGUUCUGUAUACAAAGUGCUUUAUCUCUUUGCGGUGAAAAACGGCGUUUUGCGGACAGUUGACUGUCAAAAUUCUGUUGUUUUUUGCUUUUGGUCCUGUUCCUGCAUGACUUAGUCAGAGUCAAUAAGAGAUGGAGGAAGUUGGAAAGAGGUUUGCUAGGCCUAUCCGGAUAUACAUGCCAGACCAUAUGAAAGGAUUUUGCUAUGUUGUGUACCAUGUUAUAAAGGUAGAGCUGGGAUAUGUUUUUCUUCAACUGUGUGGACGUGCUCAUGAUGGAGGUAAUCCUUCAGUGGCUAUAUUUAGGUGUCACCUUUUGGUUAGUUUCAUUUCAAGAUCCCUAAGAAUAUCGGAUGUGCUUGUGUUGUUUGCGUUUUAGAUAUAACUUUCUUGGGAAGUACCUUGAAAGAACAUGGAAGUUUGCUUUUGAAGUAAUCUGUUUGAAGGUUCAAGUACUGUGAAGAAAGCUGAUGUGAACUACUUUACUGCCUGCUGUGUUUUUCUUGGGUGGCACGUCAAGUUCUAUCCAGAUGCUGAUUACUGUGUUACCUACCAAUCCUUCUGAUAUCUAGUUUGUGCCUUUGAUUUCCUACAUUAGACAUUCGGUUGGGUUUCUGCCAGCUUACAUGCUCCGUCAAGUGUUGGAUUAGUCUUAGCUUAGUAAUUAGUAUUCUUAUUGUAAUUUGUGGUCAUGUUUUGUUUGUGCAAGUUAUGUUUUAUCUUGUACACAAUUGUCAAUUAUGCAUCUUGUAUGAUGUUGUUGGUGUAAUUGUUCAAUGAUAUGAUGACCUACAUUUGCUGCAACAAAAUAGCAACUAAAUCUCAUAGCUUGAUGUCUUUUUUUCCUUACAUCAAUGUAUUUGUGUUCAUCGAUGCAAGUUCACCAAAGAUUGUUCAGAGCAUCCCACUUAUAUAGUUCUCCUAUAAUCUCAAGAUAAUAAUGAUCACUUUUGACCUAACAUUUUGAACUUGUUCAGUGGUUUCCAUUCCUGUGUUCAAUCAGUUUAAGUGGUAAAGUAUGGUGCUUGUAUUCUUUUUGGGUGCUCUCUUUAGUCAUGCACAUGAUUUCUUGUAAUAAUCACAUUAGUUGCUUGUAUUUAAUCUUGAUUCCGCGUCAUUCACUAGUGCCAUUCUAUCACUGUUUUAUGUAGUUUGGCAUUAAGCUUCAAGUAUAUUCAAAGGUUAGUUUGAGUUAUGAUUUCAGUCUUCUAUGUUUGCAUUAUUUACAUCUGCUUUUACUCUUGGAGUUUCCCUACCUGGUUAGUGUGAUUUAUGAUUUCAUAUUGUUCAUGAGUGUAGGCUAUAUAUGUAUUUUACUUGAUUUGUAAUGAUUUUACAUAGUAUUCAGAGGCAAAUAUUCUAUGAUAAGUGGUGUCGGCUGUCGGCCUAGUCGGAUUUCUUUGUUUACAAUUUAUUUCCAACAUGUCAGUGAAUUAAGAUUUUACUUCAUGUGCUUAGGUCUACCAAUGUUUUUAGAACUUAGUUAAUAACUAUCAAUAGUUAAGUUAAGAUUUAGCUACUGUUAACUUUCCCCUCUUAAUUGGUGAGAUCAUAAGCAUGCACAUACUGUUUUUCUUUAGUUUCACCUUCCCCACUUAUUUGGUUGAUGAGAUGAUAAGCAUGGCAUGUACUAUAAUUUCCAGGCCUCUUUCUUUCAAAAUGAGGACAUUAUAUUUGAUUAUUUGUUUUGAGCUUGCAUGAAAAUUUAUUUGCCCCUGAUCCGUUCUGCUGUCAUUUUUAUCUCUUCGAUAGAGAAGGUCAUAAUUAGAAACGUGAAAAAGGCCUGUAGUUUUUACAUAAGUAUAUGACUUGAUGUUAUUCUUGUGUGCUUGGAUGCGGGCUUAGAUAGAGAAGGUCACAAUUGGAGUAUUUCUCAUCAAUUCAUUAGCUAAUUGAGUCAUAUCCUCUAACCACUCUUAAUUUUCUUGGAUACAGUCUGCAUAGUCCUAGUUUUGACUUAUCUUCUCUAAUAACGUCAAUAGUGUAUGUGUUGUUUCAGUGUUCCAAUUCCUACAAUCAUUUAUUUUUGCUUGGCAUAGAACCAUGAUCCUAUCUGAUGAAAUUAUUUAUGCAACAGUGCUGCUUCUGGCCACUGUUUGCACCAAAUUUUUUAUAUCUCAAGGUAAGUUAGUAUGUACUACACUGAUAUUGUUUAGUUACAAGUCACCUAGAAAUACAUUGUAGGGAUGUGAAAACUUCUACAUUAGUUUUAAUUCUCAACCGUGGUGUUCAUAUAUAGGUUGGUAGCUUCAGAUGUGUUCUUAGUUUCCUAUAAACUCGUUCUUCUAUUUGGAACUUUACACUAUCCUUGUGCACAUGUAUGGCUAAAAAUUUCCCUAUGAAUUUUCUUGCCUUCCUUUUUCUGCUUGGAAAUUUUAUUACUAGAUUUGUUAACAAAUGUUUGGUCAGUCUUGGUAUGCCCCUACUUGUUCUGUUUUGGUCUGAGUUUUAGUUUUGUUCCCAAUCCAUGUUGCACCGCUUUAAGAUACACCAGUAUCGAUGCGACGUGUCUAUAUAUACUUAAUGAACUN
RNAcentral lists this long non-coding RNA (4204 nucleotides) under Hordeum vulgare. RNAcentral describes it as "long non-coding RNA (HVUL_LNC018656)". Lineage: Eukaryota; Viridiplantae; Streptophyta; Magnoliopsida; Poales; Poaceae. The record is from RNAcentral.